This 735-nucleotide ribosomal RNA is filed under the name uncultured organism. RNAcentral describes it as "bacterial SSU rRNA". It matches the Rfam family "Bacterial small subunit ribosomal RNA", at positions 48 to 780 of the family's 1533-position model. The record is from RNAcentral.
CUAAUACAUGCAAGUCGCACGGUAGGUUGAUNGCUUGCAACUAACACGAGUGGCGCACGGGUGAGUAACGCGUACGCGACCUGCCCUCAAGAGGGAAAUAGCCCUGGGAAACCGGGAUUAAUGUCCCAUGUGAUUGUAUUUCUAAGGGAUAUAAUUAAAGGAGCGAUCCGCUUGAGGAUGGGCGUGCGUGCUAUUAGCUAGUUGGUGAGGUAAUGGCUCACCAAGGCGACGAUAGCUAGGGGGCGUGAGAGCGUGACCCCCCACACGGGUACUGAGACACGGACCCGACUCCUACGGGAGGCAGCAGUAAGGAAUAUUGGACAAUGGGGGCAACCCUGAUCCAGCCAUCCCGCGUGCAGGAAGACGGCCCUAUGGGUUGUAAACUGCUUUUAUUAGGGAAGAAUAGCAUCAAUGAAUUGGUGUAUGACGGUACCUAAAGAAUAAGCACCGGCUAACUCCGUGCCAGCAGCCGCGGUAAUACGGAGGGUGCAAGCGUUAUCCGGAAUCACUGGGUUUAAAGGGUGCGUAGGUGGAAUAAUAAGUCAGGCGUGAAAGGUUACAGCUUAACUGUAGACUUGCGUUUGAUACUGUUAUUCUUGAAUUAAGAUGAGGUUGGCAGAAUGCGACAUGUAGCGGUGAAAUGCAUAGAUAUGUCGUAGAAUACCGAUUGCGAAGGCAGGCAACCGGACUUAAAUUGACACUGAGGCACGAAAGCGUGGGGAGCGAACAGGAUUA